Molecule: ribosomal RNA, 495 nt
Filed under: uncultured bacterium
Lineage: Bacteria
Description: partial 16S ribosomal RNA
Rfam family: Bacterial small subunit ribosomal RNA
Source: RNAcentral
GACGAACGCUGGCGGCGUGCCUAAUACAUGCAAGUAGAACGCUGAAGGAGGAGCUUGCUUCUCUGGAUGAGUUGCGAACGGGUGAGUAACGCGUAGGUAACCUGCCUGGUAGCGGGGGAUAACUAUUGGAAACGAUAGCUAAUACCGCAUAAUAGUAGAUGUUGCAUGACAUUUGCUUAAAAGGUGCAAUUGCAUCACUACCAGAUGGACCUGCGUUGUAUUAGCUAGUGGGUGGGGUAACGGCUCACCAAGGCGACGAUACAUAGCCGACCUGAGAGGGUGAUCGGCCACACUGGGACUGAGACACGGCCCAGACUCCUACGGGAGGCAGCAGUAGGGAAUCUUCGGCAAUGGACGGAAGUCUGACCGAGCAACGCCGCGUGAGUGAAGAAGGUUUUCGGAUCGUAAAGCUCUGUUGUAAGAGAAGAACGAGUGUGAGAGUGGAAAGUUCACACUGUGACGGUAUCUUACCAGAAAGGGACGGCUAACUACGUG